This 2221-nucleotide ribosomal RNA is filed under the name wastewater metagenome. RNAcentral's name for it is "bacterial LSU rRNA". It matches the Rfam family "Bacterial large subunit ribosomal RNA", at positions 1 to 2343 of the family's 2925-position model. The record is from RNAcentral.
UAAAGCAAUUAAGAGCACAUGGUGAAUGCCUAGGGUCUGAGAGGCGAUGAAGGACGUGGUAAGCUGCGAUAAGCUAAGGAGAGCUGCACACAAGCGUUAUAUCCUUAGAUUUCCGAAUGGGACAACCUAAUAUAUUGAAGAUAUAUUACUCGAAAGAGAGCCAACCCCGAGAACUGAAACAUCUAAGUACCGGGAGGAAAAGAAAACAAUAGUGAUUCCCUGAGUAGUGGCGAGCGAAAAGGGAUAAGCCCAAACCAAUUUGGCGUGCCGAAUUGGGGUUAUAGGACUACAUUUAGAACUGAUUAUCAAGUUGAAUCUUUUGGAAAGAAGAGCUAUAGCAGGUGAUAGCCCUGUAAACACAAAUUAAUCACGACGCGUAGUAUCCUGAGUAAGGCGGAACCGGAGGAAUUCUGCCCGAAUUUGCCAGCACCAUCUGGUAAGGCUAAAUACUCCUCAGACACCGAUAGUGAACCAGUACCGUAAGGGAAAGGUGAAAAGUACCCUGAAUAAGGGAGUGAAAUAGUACCUGAAACCGUGUGCUUACAAGCGGUCGGAGCUUAGUAAUGAGUAACGGCGUGCCUUUUGCAUAAUGAACCUACGAGUUGCUCCUCACUGGCGAGGUUAAGUUCUUUAAUAACGGAGCCGAAGCGAAAGCGAGUCCAAAUAGGGCGAAUAGUCAGUGGGGGCAGACGCGAAACUUUGUGAUCUAUCCAUGGGCAGGUUGAAGGUGUGGUAACACACACUGGAGGACCGAACUCGUGAGCGUUGAAAAGCUCUGAGAUGACCUGUGGAUAGGGGUGAAAGGCCAAUCAAACUGAGAGAUAGCUCGUUCUCCCCGAAAUGUUUUUAGGAACAGCGUCGCAUAUAGAAGUUUAUUAGAGGUAGAGCUACUGAUUGGGCUAGGGGGCUUCACCGCCUACCAAACCCUGACAAACUCCGAAUGCUAAUAAAUAUCUGCGGCAGUGAGGCUGUGGGCGCUAAGGUCCAUGGCCGAGAGGGAAAUAACCCAGAUUAGCAACUAAGGUCCCUAAUACAUAGUUAAGUUGAUCAAACGAGGUGGGAUUUCUAUAACAGCCAGGAUGUUUGCUUGGAAGCAGCAAUUCAUUUAAAGAGUGCGUAACAGCUCACUGGUCGAGAGGUCCUGCACGGAAAAUAAUCGGGCAUCAAACUAUGAACCGAAGUUCUAAACUCUAACUUGUUAGAGUGGUAGGGGAGCAUUGAAAUCUGCAUAGAAGGUGUAUGGCGACAUAUGCUGGAGCGAUUUCAAAAGAAAAUGUAGGUAUAAGUAACGAUAAAAGGAGUGAAAAACUCCUUCGCCGAAAGUCUAAGGUUUCCUGAUCAACGUUAAUCGGAUCAGGGUUAGUCUGGUCCUUAGGAGAACCCGAAAGGGGCAUCUGAUGGAAAGAAGGUUAAUAUUCCUUCACCUACUAUACAUUAAAAGUGACGGAGAAUGCUAGCUACAUAGGCAGACGGAUGCUGAGUGAAUCCUUCGGGUGAAGCGUAGUAGUGAAAGUUCUUCCAAGAAAAGCGAGUAUAGCAGCCAGUACCGCAAACCGACACAGGUAGACGGGAUGAGUAUUCUAAGGCGCUCGGGUGAGCCGUGGAGAAGGAACUAGGCAAAUUAACGCUGUAACUUCGGGAUAAAGCGUACCAUAGAGAUAUGGUCACAGUAAAAUGAUUCAACCAACUGUUUAACAAAAACACAGGGCCCUGCAAAAUCGAAAGAUGACGUAUAGAGCCUGAAACCUGCCCGGUGCUGGAAGGUUAAGGAAGGGUGUUCGGCGUAAGCCAAAGCUCCUGACUGAAGCCCCAGUAAACGGCGGCCGUAACUAUAACGGUCCUAAGGUAGCGAAAUUCCUUGUCGGGUAAGUUCCGACCUGCACGAAUGGUCUAAUGAGUUGAACACUGUCUCCUCCACGAGCCCGGUGAAAUUGUAGUAUCGGUGAAGAUGCCGGUUACCCGCCACGGGACGGAAAGACCCCGUGAACCUUCACUACAACUUUGCAUUGAUUUUGAGCAACCGAUGUGUAGGAUAGUUGGGAGACUUUGAAGCAGUGUCGCUAGGCAUUGUGGAGUCAACGUUGAAAUACCAACCUUCGUUUGCUUAGAACCUAAUCCCUAAAGGGAGAAAGUGCAUGGUGGGUAGUUUGACUGGGGUGGUCGCCUCCUAAAAAGUAACGGAGGCUUGCAAAGGUACCCUCAGUACGGUUGGUAAUCGUAC